UACGUAGGGGGCAAGCGUUAUCCGGAUUUACUGGGUGUAAAGGGAGCGUAGACGGCUUUGCAAGCCAGAUGUGAAAGCCCGGGGCUCAACCUCGGGACUGCAUUUGGAACUGUAUGGCUGGAGUGUCGGAGAGGCAGGCGGAAUUCCUAGUGUAGCGGUGAAAUGCGUAGAUAUUAGGAGGAACACCAGUGGCGAAGGCGGCCUGCUGGACGAUGACUGACGUUGAGGCUCGAAAGCGUGAGGAGCAAACAGG
Molecule: ribosomal RNA, 253 nt
Filed under: uncultured bacterium
Lineage: Bacteria
Description: partial 16S ribosomal RNA
Rfam family: Bacterial small subunit ribosomal RNA
Source: RNAcentral